RNAcentral lists this long non-coding RNA (1015 nucleotides) under Notechis scutatus (mainland tiger snake). RNAcentral's name for it is "lncRNA (ENSNSUG00000004287.1)". The record is from RNAcentral. Lineage: Eukaryota; Metazoa; Chordata; Lepidosauria; Squamata; Elapidae.
CCUUUGGCAGAGUUGUGAGGUGGAUAUAUGACUGUUUUUAUUCCAUUUGCUAAGGAAAAAAGAUGACUGCUAAAGCUCGCUCCAUCAAGGAGGCAUCUAAGAAAGUGAUCACUCCGAAAACAAAGGAAGAAAAAAAAGUUACCAAAAAGCUGCCUACUUCAAAAUCAAAGGAGGGAACACCAACUGUUUCAAAAAUGGAGGCAAGACAAGCUAAAUCCAAGAUUUCUUCAAAAGUACUGCCUGAAACCUUUGUUGCUGUGCAAGUGAAAGAAGUGCUUGAAGACCCAAAGGUGAGGCUUGAAACUCCACAACAUUCAGUGCCAGUGAAGGAUGAGGACAUGGAUCAAGAAGCUCCAGCACACUCUGUGAUAAUUGGCUGCCUAAAGGAUGAAGGCAUGGAAUUAGAAUCCCCAGAAAUCUCUAUAGCAGAUGAGCAGGAUGGCAGCAUGGACGUUGAAGCUGCAACAAGCCUUGAUACACAAUGCUGCUUAAAGGAUGGAGUUAAGGAACCAGUAACCCCAACAAACUCUAUUGCAAUUGCCUGCUUAAAAGAGGGGGACAUGAAAACAGAAGCAACCGUGAGCCCAGUGCUCAUUAGCUGUUUAAAAGAUGAGGAUGUGGACUAGAAGGUCAAGAAGCAUAAAUAUCAAUGAUUCUGCACAGCACUCCUUCACGAAUCAAGGAAGGUGAAUUGCUGACCUCUUUGACUGUACUCUAGCUUUUUAUGUGAUGUGAUCGGCCUAUGAAACAAUUAUUAGAACAUAUAUUCUAUCCAUCAUGCAAAAAGGCAGGUCUACAAUGCUGCUCUGCAUACUACUAUGAAUGAAUUUCUGCAUUAUAAAACUCUGUGGAAAGGCAGUGACAUGUUACAGGGCAUUUGAAAUUUAUCUGACCACGGUAAUCAUCACUAUUUCAGUCAACCAUGGACUGCCUUCGAAGCAAGUUAUUGGGCUGGUACUCAAGAAAAGUUUUCUGCUGAAAUAAAUGGCAGAUCAGGAAAAUGGGUAAGAAAGCU